CACGCAGUAAACGAUGCAGACUAGGCGUGGGUGGACUUGACCCCAUCCGUGCCGGAGCCAACGCGGUAAGUCUGCCGCCUGGGGAGUACGGCCGCAAGGCUAAAACUCAAAGGAAUUGAC
RNAcentral lists this ribosomal RNA (120 nucleotides) under uncultured bacterium. RNAcentral's name for it is "partial 16S ribosomal RNA". It matches the Rfam family "Bacterial small subunit ribosomal RNA", at positions 796 to 914 of the family's 1533-position model. The record is from RNAcentral.